ACACACACACACACACACACACACGGAUGAUUAUGACCAACACAACACUGAUAUAUCUAAAACAUUGGAUAGGCAGAAGUGUUCAGUCUGAAUCAGAGCUGCAAUUACAAGUAGAAUUGUUAUUAUAGAAGAGAGGGCCAUGGCUACACAUUCUGAUCUUAUUUAAUGUUUAACACCACACAUACGUAUUCUUGAUGUAAUACAUGAGUCAUCUGCUCCAGUGCAGCUGCUCAGCGACAAACACAACAAGGUGAUUUGUGUCAGUCUCUAGCAUGCCAAUAUAUUCUACAAAAUACACACACACUGUACUGUGUCAUAAAUAUAUAAUGAGGUAUGAGCCAUGUGUCAAAACCAGCUCACUCAACACAGAACAAACAGCAGCGCUGCACUUCUGUGCAAGUGACACAUUUGGUGUUUCUUUACAACCAGGCAAUAAACACACCGGCAACAUGUUGAUAUAAUGGAAUAAUGAACAACUGCAAUAACACUGUUUUUUUUACAAUGCAUUUUCUGUCUGUUAAAAUAGCAUUUUCUAAAAGAUAAAUCUGUUGAUGAAUGAAUUGAUCCCACUAACAAGUCUUGUUUGUUUAUCCAAAGCCUGAUAUACUUUAUUCCACAGAGCUCCAUUGGUGUCCCAAAACUAGGCAGUUUACUGUCAUAGAGGAGGAAAGAAACCAGAAAAUAUUCACAUUUGAAAAGCUGAAAUGAGAUUUUUUUUUUUUUUUUUUUAAACUCAAAUCGGUUAAUCGAUUUUCAACAUAGUUGCCGAUUAAUUUAAAAGUGGACAACUCAUCGAUUAAUCGACUAAUCGUUCCAGCUCUACCCAAAACUACAGCCACGUGUUGCGCCAGCAGCAGCCGUGUCUGAAUGUCAGGCCAGGAGUCUUGCAGCUGAGCGUCAGAGUACAUCCUAAACAAGAUCCUCAGGCUGCAGGCAAGACUGCUGGUCUCCUGCUUCAAUAAGUUGGGCUUGGAUUUCCCUUUAAAGCCUGAGGGCAAAAGAGAGUCAUUGAUAAAAAUAAAGAGUGCUGUCCUCUGUUCAUUGUUGGAGUUGAAGUCCUUGGCGAAGGUGUGCGACUCCAGCAGACAGUCCAGCAGCUUGAAGAGGUGUGCAGAAGUCAUGUGUCUGUACAUUCCCUGAUCUGGACCCGCCUCGCCUCCCUCAGCCUCCGACUCUUCCAGAGCAUCUCGCUGACGGGAGGACAGUUUUAGACAACUUUAACUAAGCAUACCUGACAAUUUAAAAAGGUACAAAGGGAUGUCCAAGAUUUUCUUAGCAUGCCAUGGCCUGAUCUGACAUUCGAUCAAAGCAUGAUCACUUCCCCAUACAAUUCAUUUCAGUGAGUAGCACUUCUGCUAAGGUUAAGAACAAUAUAUUAUAUAAAAACAAUUCAUAUAGUAGCUAUUAUAACAUACCUGUGCAGCAGCCAUGUUCUCAGCAUCCUCCUUCUUGCUGGUUGCUGGGAAGAAGACAAUGUUGUCUAUGGUCUGGAUAAGUUCAAGCUGGACAACGCAUUUAAUCAGCAGCCCUGCAAACAGCUUCUGGUCUGAAACUUCUGUAGAGGGGAAAAAACAAAGGAAGUGUAGCGACAUGAGCAUUUGAGGGAAAAAUUGACUUUGAAGAGGGACAAAAAAGCAACAGUGGCAGUUAAAUGUUUCAAUAACAAGCCAGAAACAAACGUGUUGUAGAACAGCUGAAAUAUUUAUUUCUGCCUCCAUGCUGCCAUUUCCGGGGUUUUGUUCAGAAAGACUUUCAGACAGAAUUUGAGUGAAUGCUGUGUACUCACUAGCAUUGGAUUUGCCCUUCCAGGUGUCAUCGCUGGACAUCUGGCUGUGUCCUCUCUCAGACAGAGCUCUGUCAUAGCUGCUCUGGGACUGGCUGUCAAAAUCAGCGUCCUGGAGACAUACAGAAUGGCCGUUCACAUGUUAGUGUCAUACGUCUGGUGGAAAUAUAAGGGUCCUUUUAUUGGCUAAAAGCAGCUUAUCACAUUCCAGACCAAGCAUGAACCAUCUGCUGAGCUGCUGUUGUACAUACUGUAAUUAUUGUUUGGUUAAUGAGUGUGUUUAUGUUCUUACAAAAUGCUUGCCAUCUGCAGUUUCCUCUUCCUGUCCAGCAGGUCGCCAAGUCAACAAACUGAUGUAAAAAGCAAACAGAAAGGCAGAUCAGGAAUCAGGUGUUGUUGCAACUUGCAUCCUGUCACAGCACUAAAGCACAAAAAGCCUUUUAGUACAUUAGCUUUAAUCCCUAAAAUUGCCAUUAACUCCCCGCUGAGAUGACUGAGCUUUUUCUCUUCAAAACAGGGAUGAUGAAAUAUAAUAGAUGACUGAAUAAACGCUAUCACCAUGACGUUCACAUGCAGUUUCUUUGACAUCGUUGAGCUGAAACUUAAUUGACCUCGUCUCUGGCUGAAAGUACAGCAGUUCGGGGCUUACACGUGAGGGCUGGUGUUCUGGAAGAUCUCCAGCAUACAGGAGCAGGUGAUGUUCCAGACCUGGGGGCUGAACUUCUCCCCGUUCAGAAUCACCAGGUUCUCCAGACAGUUUGUCCCCGACCGAGCCAGCUGCUCGUUGUCUGUAGAAGAAAGGUCAAAACAAACAACCAUGGGACCCGAUGGCCUGCUGCCAGUGACCUCUGACCUCUGUCUGCUGCUCGGGGAGCUUCAUGUUGUCAAAGAUGCGGAAGACGAUUCUGAAGAGGUCGUGCCACCAAUGCUUCUCGAACGUGUGACCGUAACUCUUCAUGAUCUCAAACAUGACAGUCAGACCUCUGUCAGGAGCAAAGAAAAACAGUUCACUCAUCAGUCACCACAGAGAGCAGAGUAUGGAACCACUGGUACUGAAAUAUGAGUGCUUUUUUUGACUGUACUGACGUCCUCUUUUUUAAGUGAUCUCUUGCUAGUCUUCAUGCUUGGUUCAGCUUUGAUAAUAAGAGUUCGGUAUUUAGCAGCAAGCAUGUAUAUAAAUGCCUAAAUGUUCAGGCACCAAGUUUUACAAAGACAUGACAGGGGUUUUUGGGGCAUUUAAGGGCUUUCAAUGUGCAGGUCCAAAGUUUGUAACAGCUUACCAGAUGAUACUUUCUUUUAAUUACAGGAAAUAACUAUGGUCAAUUAUUUAUUCGAUUAAACUUUCAGCCAAUGUAAAGUCUACAAAAUAUGAAAACCCACGUUCUGAGAGCACAAAGGGACAUCUUCAAAUGUCUUAUUUUGUCUGACCCAAAGAUAUUCCAUUUCUAAUAUCAUCAAACACAGAAAAGAAGAAAGUCCUCGUAUUAAAAGGACCAGCUGGACCCAGCAAAUUUGUGGCAUUUUUGCAGGCUAAUUGGUUAAUCUACUAAUCAUUUCAGAUUUAUUUUGAAUAAUAAUAAGUAAUUAUAAUUAAAUCUGUAUGUUAACUUUCUCUUAAAUCUGUAAUGUAGUUAAGGCUCAGCAGUCUUGUUGUUAUCAUGAUUUGGGGGUGACCAGGACCACUACGGAAAUAAGUUCUGUUAACUGUCGGUGUUUUUAUCCUGUCAUGCUUCAAUUUUAUGCAUCACACCUUGUUUGUGUGCCAUCGUAUUUAGUUUCAUUUAUUUUAUUUCUUUUAAUUUUUUUCUGUCUUUGCAACAAGUAGGGACAGUUAAAGCACACAUUGAGAGCUCAAACUGUCAUUUCACUGAGACUCCAUGCAGAGUUGUUUUUCUACCUGGUCCGGACAUCCAGCUUGCAGCGAUUGAUGAUACAAGAGAGCUCAAACAGAAUUGGAAACCAGCCACGAACCCACACCCGAUCUCCAGGGGCCACAUUCAUGUCAUCACUGGUGUAUUCCCUCAGGGUCUAGACAGAGACACAGCAGGACAGAAAUUUAAAGUGUAAUAUUACAAAAUUAUGUUUUGAAGAAACCACAUGUUUGCAAUUUGCAAACGAAAGAUGAAUGCUCUCACACAAUUGGCAUUUUAAAUGAACCAGUAUAGUCCCAAGUCAUUUGUUCCUACCUGUGGCCUUUCUGAGACAUAUUUAGCACAGUGUCGAAUGAGUCUGAUAGCCUCCAUGCUGGUGUCAGGAAAAGCUGCGUUACACACAAACUCUGACAGGCACUUUACCGCAUCCUGGAACGAAUCAAUAGCAGCUGCAAAGUGCUCCUGGAAGGUGUUCACUGAAGCGAGAGUGAUAAAGAGAAGGAAAGCAAGUAAGAAAACAAGAAUCAACUAGUUGUUGGUUUGUUGUUUGGUUGGUUAAAGGGAUCUUAAAUCUCUCCUGUCAUUCAUUCUCACAGAGGAUCCGUGUCACUGUCAGCUGAGCGGUUUGACACAACACUACCUCUGUCACUUGUUUUUUUUAAAUCACCUGAGCCAAAUGGCCGCCCCGAGGAAAGAGCUGCCGUCAUACUCACUGACAAUGUGCCCAGUGGUCUGGAAAGCCAGCUCCACUAUAGUCUCAUCGUGGUCGGAGGCUGCCUGGUGAAACACUGAGAAGAUGUUCUUCCAACCUGAACGGAUGUUGGCCGCCUGGGAGUUUACCAUCUGAGCCACACACCUGAUCACCAUGUCUCUGAUAGUGGGGGACCUGAGGCAGAGGAGGGAGGGGUGUGUCAACAAUACUGUGUUUCUUUAACAGUUAUUAUAACAUUAACUCACCAUUCAAAACCAUUCUUAUGACCCCACUACUUUUUACAAUAAAGUACAGUCUUUCAUCCCAGCCGCCCAUAUUACAGAACUCUCUACCUGUUCUUCUUCAUGAUGUGCUCAAACGGCCUGAGGAAGUCUUUCUGGAAGCGGAAGUUGGCCAGCUCUCCUUUCUCCAAGAACUUCAUGGAGAGCUGCCUCAGUGAGUCCACAGCAAAGAUGGCUACAUCCUCAUUAGGGUUACAGCCCACCUAGAGGGAGACGCAGUUAUCAAUGGAGCUCAGCUAUGCAUCACAUUUGUUUCUUGAGUGUACUGUAUGCUCAUGAUUGAACCUGCAUUUAUUGAUUUUGUUCGCCACUUGGGGGCAGUGCAACGAGCUGUAAACAACAUUUCACAUGAUCUACAUGAUAUGGUAACUUUGUACAAAAUUAACAUUUAAAGUUUAAUAUAAGAUGAGCAGAGUCUAACUGUAAUAAAUCUAAUUCUAUAUUGACA
Molecule: long non-coding RNA, 5095 nt
Organism: Micropterus dolomieu (smallmouth bass)
Lineage: Eukaryota; Metazoa; Chordata; Actinopteri; Centrarchiformes; Centrarchidae
Exons: 4
Source: RefSeq, a predicted model, not a curated record